GAUGAACGCUGGCGGCGUGCCUAAUACAUGCAAGUCGAGCGAACAGACGAGGAGCUUGCUCCUCUGACGUUAGCCGAAGACGGGUGAGUAACACGUGGAUAACCUCCCUAUCAGACGGGGAUAACUUCGAGAAACCGGAGCUAAUACCGGAUAAUAUAUUGAACCGCAUUGUUCAAUAGUAAAAUACGGCUUUUCGGGCACUUAUAGCUGGUUCCGCGCCGCAUUAGCUAGUUGGUAAGUUAACGGGUUACCAAGGCAACGAUGCGUAGACGAAGUGAGAGGGGGGUCGGCCACCCGGGAAGUGGGACGCGGACCAGAGUCCUAAGAGAGGGACCAGUAGGGAAUCUGACGCAAUGGGCGAAAGCCUGACGGAGUAACGGGGCGUGAGUGAUGAAGGUCUUCGGAUCGUAAAACUCUGUUAUUAGGGAAGAACAAAUGUGUAAGUAACUAUGGACGUCUUGACGGUACCGAAUCAGAAAGCCACGGCUAACUACGUG
This 497-nucleotide ribosomal RNA is filed under the name uncultured bacterium. Its description in RNAcentral is "partial 16S ribosomal RNA". It matches the Rfam family "Bacterial small subunit ribosomal RNA", at positions 28 to 507 of the family's 1533-position model. The record is from RNAcentral.